This 457-nucleotide unclassified non-coding RNA is filed under the name Aspergillus calidoustus. RNAcentral describes it as "sequence contains ITS1, 5.8S rRNA gene, ITS2". The stretch from base 129 to 282 matches the Rfam family "5.8S ribosomal RNA". Lineage: Eukaryota; Fungi; Ascomycota; Eurotiomycetes; Eurotiales; Aspergillaceae. The record is from RNAcentral.
CUAACCUCCCACCCGUGAAUACCUGACCAACGUUGCUUCGGCGGUGCGCCCCCCCGGGGGUAGCCGCCGGAGACCACACCGAACCUCCUGUCUUUAGUGUUGUCUGAGCUUGAUAGCAAACCUAUUAAAACUUUCAACAAUGGAUCUCUUGGUUCCGGCAUCGAUGAAGAACGCAGCGAACUGCGAUAAGUAAUGUGAAUUGCAGAAUUCAGUGAAUCAUCGAGUCUUUGAACGCACAUUGCGCCCCCUGGCAUUCCGGGGGGCAUGCCUGUCCGAGCGUCAUUGCUGCCCUUCAAGCCCGGCUUGUGUGUUGGGUCGUCGUCCCCCCCGGGGGACGGGCCCGAAAGGCAGCGGCGGCACCGCGUCCGGUCCUCGAGCGUAUGGGGCUUUGUCACCCGCUCGAUUAGGGCCGGCCGGGCGCCAGCCGGCGUCUCCAACCUUCUAUUUUACCAGGUUG